GUCAAAGGAAUUACAACGAAGAAAAGUAUACGGGUGGUCCUAAAACUGGAUAAAUUCUGUGAUUUCGACACUCUUCUAGCAUUGAUAUCAGCGGAUGGGAAGAUCACUGCAGAUCAUUUCUUCGACCUGACAACACCUGACAUUAGAGAGAAAAUAAACAUGGCGUUAAAACUCGCAAUUCUAGGUGUUCUCCUGGUUGCCCUUGCGAUUGCAACUAGUGUUUCCUGCGAAGAUACACAAAUUAGUGAGGAAAUCAAUGCUUCUGAGUUAAAGAAGUGCGUACAGGAUGUGAAAGACGAAUAUUAUUGCAAACGGAUUUUACAACUCUAUAAAAACUGGGUCUCGCAAAGUGAGUAGCAGAAAAGCAGGAUGAAAAACUACAACCCACUCUUGUGUGCAUCAAAAUCUCAGCUACACUCCUUUCAACUCCUUUCAACGUAUUCAGUUCUUAUUAUUCACUGAUUUAAAGACGUAUAAUUUAUGUCAAUAAAUUGCCUUAUAUGAUCUUUGUGAUAUAAAGUAUUGAUGUGCACACGUCGGAUGACCAUGUAAUUCAUUCCAUUAUGUGGACCUUGUUUAUAUUUCAGUAGUCGGGGAGGAAGGGUGGGUCUCGUGCUUUCUUUUCGAGAAAAAAAAAGACAUAGACAAGUCCUACCCCACUCUGAACAAGAAACUCAAUUGAUUUCAACCAUUGGCCGCUAAAAGCAAGAAAACAAAUUAAUAUGAGAUUGUAAACAGUGUAAAUUCUAAACGAAUUAACAGAUUAUCUCAUAUUACUGAGUACUCUUAUUAUGAUAUCUACCAUUUUAAACAAUUCUUCAUCUUGCAUUGUCUGACUUCCACUAAGCAUGCUAAGCCUAGAAUUAACCUGACCAUGCUGACACACAAAUGCAGAGCUCAUAAUCGUUUUCGCAUCUCCAUGUCUCUUUCCCAUUGUUUUGUAUAAGACUCUACCAUUCUAGUACGCCUUUCCCUCCUGAUUAGUUUUAAUAAAUAGUUAAAGUUACAAUUAUAUAGCGCUUAAUACAUUAUGUUUCUAAGCGCUUUACAUUGUACUAAUUUUUACCCUUGGAUUUUU
Long non-coding RNA from Lytechinus pictus (painted urchin), 1078 nucleotides. RefSeq lists it as uncharacterized. The transcript has 4 exons. The record is from RefSeq and is a predicted model, not a curated record. NCBI's taxonomy places the organism in Eukaryota, Metazoa, Echinodermata, Echinoidea, Temnopleuroida, Toxopneustidae.